CCGAGUUUACAACUCCCGAACCCCUGUGAACAUACCACUUGUUGCCUCGGCGGAUCAGCCCGCUCCCGGUAAAACGGGACGGCCCGCCAGAGGACCCCUAAACUCUGUUUCUAUAUGUAACUUCUGAGUAAAACCAUAAAUAAAUCA
This 147-nucleotide unclassified non-coding RNA is filed under the name soil metagenome. Its description in RNAcentral is "partial internal transcribed spacer 1". The record is from RNAcentral.